Molecule: long non-coding RNA, 267 nt
Organism: Parus major (Great Tit)
Lineage: Eukaryota; Metazoa; Chordata; Aves; Passeriformes; Paridae
Exons: 3
Source: RefSeq, a predicted model, not a curated record
AUGAAAGAAUUAGGACCUGGGAAGAGGCAGUCAUGAUCUGGAUGCUUCAGAGGAUCAUCUUGGGAGAUGAUAACUCAUUUCGUACCAUCAGUCAAUGUCUGUAACCACCUGCUUUUGGAGGAGAAUGCCAGGAUGAUGUCACCCAGAGGCUGCAGCUCUUUGCUUCAGCAGCUUUUGAGGAUGUGGUACCACAUGAAUGAGGCUGGAUGAGAAGCUGGAGAAAACCAGCAGGGAGAAGAAAGCAUGUAUGGUCAGCACAGAGUUUAC